Molecule: long non-coding RNA, 556 nt
Filed under: Homo sapiens (human)
Lineage: Eukaryota; Metazoa; Chordata; Mammalia; Primates; Hominidae
Description: HSALNT0322524
Source: RNAcentral
CUAGGCAGGCGUGGGACCUGUCGGGGGCUUCACGGCAGCGCGGAAGGCCAGCCUGCAGAGAGGCUGGGCCCAGCGCCCUGACUGACCCAGCCCCGCCACGUCCAAGGUUCCCGCCCUCUGGAGGAAGCCGCGCAAUCACUCCGGGGGCGGGGAGAGACAGACAACUGAGAGGAAGGAGGUACCACGGGCACUCUCUCGCGAGAGGGCCGCAGAGCCGCCUUUGACGGGGGCGUGUACCUGGAGAGCAACGCUCUUGACAAAAUUCUCAGGGAAAACUCUUCAGCUCUGGAUGUCUCCCUUUUUGUGGAUCAAACACAAAGGGCAUCAUUCUAAAAUAUAUACAGAACCAUAAAAGCCCCAAAUAGCCAAAGCAACCCUGAGCAAAAAGAACAAGGCUGGAAGCAUCACACUACCAGACUUCAAAAUUUACUACAAAGCUCUAAUACCUAAAAUAACAUGGUACUGGCAUUAAAAAAAAAAAAAAAAUAGGCACAUAGACCACCAAUGAAACAGUAUAGAGAAUCUAGAUAUACCAACUCAUCUUUAACAAAGGUGC